UUUCCGUAGGUGAACCUGCGGAAGGAUCACUAAAGAGAACUGCCUUCGGGCUAAUCUCCCACCCUUUGUUUACAUUACCUUUGUUGCUUUGGCAGGCCCGUCCUCGGACCGCUGGCUUCGGCUAGUCCGUGCCUGCCAGAGGACCCAAAACUCAUAUUAUUAAUGUCGUCUGAGUACUAUAUAAUAGUUAAAACUUUCAACAACGGAUCUCUUGGUUCUGGCAUCGAUGAAGAACGCAGC
This 240-nucleotide unclassified non-coding RNA is filed under the name uncultured fungus. Its description in RNAcentral is "sequence contains ITS1, 5.8S rRNA gene". The stretch from base 192 to 240 matches the Rfam family "5.8S ribosomal RNA", at positions 1 to 49 of the family's 154-position model. Lineage: Eukaryota; Fungi. The record is from RNAcentral.